CCCUUAGAUGUUCUGGGCCGCACGCGCGCUACACUGACGAAUGCAACGAGCUUAUAACCUUGGCCGAAAGGUCUGGGUAAUCUCCAAAUUUCGUCGUGAUGGGGAUAGAUUAUUGCAAUUAUUAAUCUUCAACGAGGAAUGCCUAGUAAGCGCAAGUCAUCUGCUUGCGUUGAUUACGUCCCUGCCCUUUGUACACACCGCCCGUCGCUCCUACCGAUUGAAUGGUCCGGUGAAGCGCUCGGACCGCGGCCUCUUGACGGUUUUCCGUCGAUUGGCUGUGGGAAGUUCGUUAAACCUUAUCAUUUAGAGGAAGGAGAAGUCGUANCA
This 327-nucleotide ribosomal RNA is filed under the name uncultured eukaryote. RNAcentral describes it as "partial 18S ribosomal RNA". It matches the Rfam family "Eukaryotic small subunit ribosomal RNA", at positions 1470 to 1796 of the family's 1831-position model. The record is from RNAcentral.